Molecule: RNA transcript, 2515 nt
Organism: Cicer arietinum (chickpea)
Lineage: Eukaryota; Viridiplantae; Streptophyta; Magnoliopsida; Fabales; Fabaceae
Gene name: protein EXECUTER 2, chloroplastic
Source: RefSeq, a predicted model, not a curated record
GUUGAUUUUUGGUUUUAUCGACGUGCCAACAGAAAACUUAUCCCAACACAAACAUCACAAAACACAGCAACUUGCUAUCGUAUCAAUCUUCAAACAAAUUACUAUUCACUUGCAUCCUCUUUCUUCAUCUUCUUCACCAAAGCGUUGUGACAACACAAACACCAAACAUGGUGAUGGCUUCACUGGGCGUGUCCCAAGCCAUCUUUUUCUCCAACACGAACACCACUGCAACCCCUUCUCGUUUCAAUCUCCUCCCAAACAAGCCACCGACCCAUCUUCUUGGUUCACCCUUUUCUCUUCAAACCAACCCAUCAUCAAUCUCAAUCUUUUCAAGAAGAAACCGCACCCACCUUUUCCGCUGCACCCCCAAUUCCAAUAACACAUCUCUUAACUGGGAUUGGAAUCGUUGGUGUCGCCAUUUCUCUGAUAUUGAACAGGCUGAAACCUUCGCCUCUCUUCUCAAGUUUCAACUUGAAGAUGCUGUUGAGAAGGAAGAGUUUCAAGAAGCAGCAAAGUUAAAGAGGGCUAUAGUAGAUGCAACAUCCAAGGACAGUGUUGCUGAAAUUAUGUCACAGUUGAAGAAUGCAAUAGACGAUGAGCGCUACCAUGAUGCUUCGAGAUUAUGCAGAUACACUGGAAGUGGACUGGUGGGUUGGUGGGUAGGGUACUCAAAAAAUUCAGAUGACCCCUUUGGUAGAUUAAUACAUAUAAGUCCUGGUAUGGGCAGGUUCGUUGGCAAGAGUUACAGUCCAAGACAAUUGCUCACAGCAUCUACCGGAACACCAAUAUUUGAAAUUUAUGUGGUAAAAAAUGCUGACGACACAUAUCAUAUGCAGGUAGUGUAUUUGCGACGAGCUAAAGGAAAUUCAAUGAGUAAUCCUCCUUCUAUACCUGCUAAAAGCCCAUCCAAACCCGAGGUUGAGAAUUUGUCUUCAGUUGAGGUGCAGGAACCUGAAGAGAAGGUUGAGGAGAGAAACGAUGAGAAAAACAGCAAUGUUGAGGCGGCAACUGAGGACGGCAUUAAGAGUGUCAUAAAUUUUCUGAAAGAAAAAAUUCCAGGAUUGAAAGUCAAAGUUAUGAACAUUAAUGUUGAAGAGGAAGCAGCACAGGGAAGUGAUUCUAUUAAACAAAUCAUGGAGGAAGAUAGUAAUAAAACAAGCUCCACUGAGAAUUCCGAAGGGGGAGUUAAUAAUCUUGAUGAACCUGAUGAGGAAAUUCUAGAAGGUGACGGCGAUGCCUCAGAAGAUGAAAAGGAUUUAGAUAUGAAGAUGUUUAUUGGUGGGAUUGUACACAACAAUGAAGAUACUGCUGCUAAGGAAGAAUUUAUACGUCUUCCAGCUGAAAUAAAGAAUAUGGAAAGGGAUUCUUUCCUCUUACAUAUACCAAAGAGAAAUCUAGAUAAUGAUAGGAGAGAAGACAAGGUUCGCAAUAUCAAAGUGGCAGCUCUGGCAGCACAAGGAAUCUCAGAGCUUAUGCCUUCUGAUGUUGCUAAGGCAUUCUGGAGUUCUGAUAAAGUCUCUUCUAAGAUUUCCAAAAGCAUGCGUGAAAUUGUCAAACUUGCUAUUAACCAAGCACAGAAAAAAAGAUUAUCUGAAGAUACAUAUUUUAGCCGGAUUACAAGUUCCAAAGGAGAUUUUGAUCCUUUUGAUGGACUCUAUGUUGGUGCAUUUGGCCCUUAUGGCAUUGAAAUAGUCCAAUUGAGGCGAAAAUUCGGACAUUGGAAUGAUGUGGACAAUGAAGGCAACACGUCAAAUAUCGAAUUUUUUGAAUAUGUAGAAGCAGUGAAAUUGACGGGGGAUCUUAAUGUUCCUGCAGGACAGGUGACAUUCCGUGCUAAAAUCGGCAAAGUCAAUCGCAACGCCAACCGUGGAUUGUAUCCCGAUGAAUUAGGAGUGAUAGUUCAGUUGGGAUAGUUCAUGAUAUGAUAUCAAAGCCUCUUUGAUCAAACGGUCUAAAGUUCAAUCCUUGCCACCUCAUUCUUGUUUUGAAAAGAAUGCAAGUUAUAAAGGCCAGGGAAGAAUUGCAGACUUUGGUUUUCGAAAUCCAAAAUGGGUCGAUGGGGAAUUGCUUCAACUAAAUGGCAAGGGCUUGGGACCACACAUGAAAGGUGCAGAUCUUGGUUUCCUUUAUGUUGUGCCAGAGCAAAGUUUUCUUGUGCUAUUCAACCGGUUGAAACUACCCGAGUAAACCACAAACCCCUUCGAUUUCCUUCUUCCCUGACGAUGGUUGGAAUACAAAGGAUUCUGACAAUAGUGGUGAGAGUAUGUUACCUUUUCUUCAUUGAGUGAGCAUAGUUUUACUCAGCACACAGGCACUUGUAAUUUUUACAGCCUCUCAAUGUCUUUAUUAGUUAAUUUUUGGUUAUUUCUUUACCCUAAUCUCUCAGAUAUAUCAUCUUAUGUAUAUAUAAAUUUUGCUGAUUGACAAAAUAGUGUGCUAGGAAGUCUUGAAGGACCUUAAGGGAUCCUUUUAUGUGCAUUAAGGGUUUAUGGCUGUGUUUGCUUUCCUUCUUGUU